UACAGGGGGUGCAAACGUUGCUCGGAAUCAUUGGGCGUAAAGCGCACGUAGGCGGUUCGUUAUGUCGGAUGUGAAAGCCCUUGGCUUAACCGAGGAAGUGCAUCCGAAACUGGCGAGCUAGAGUACGAAAGAGGAUCGCGGAAUUCCCGGUGUAGAGGUGAAAUUCGUAGAUAUCAGGAGGAACACCGGUGGUGUAGACGGCUCUCUGGACCGUAACUGACGCUGAGACACGAAAGCGUGGGUAGCAAACAGG
Molecule: ribosomal RNA, 253 nt
Filed under: uncultured bacterium
Lineage: Bacteria
Description: partial 16S ribosomal RNA
Rfam family: Bacterial small subunit ribosomal RNA
Source: RNAcentral